This 653-nucleotide ribosomal RNA is filed under the name Hepatozoon canis. RNAcentral describes it as "bacterial SSU rRNA". It matches the Rfam family "Eukaryotic small subunit ribosomal RNA", at positions 170 to 811 of the family's 1831-position model. Lineage: Eukaryota; Apicomplexa; Hepatozoidae. The record is from RNAcentral.
CAUGAGCAAAAUCUCAACUUUAUUAGAAGAGACGCAUUUAUUAGAUAAAAAGCCAGUUCAUGCUUUUAUAGUAUGAAAAUUGGUGAUUUAUAAUAACUUAGCAAAUCGCAAAGUGAAAACAGGCGAUAAAUCAUUCAAGUUUCUGACCUAUCAGCUUUCGACGGUAUGGUAUUGGCUUACCGUGGCAGUGACGGUUAACGGGGGAUUAGGGUUCGAUUCCGGAGAGGGAGCCUGAGAAACGGCUACCACAUCUAAGGAAGGCAGCAGGCGCGCAAAUUACCCAAUUCUAACAGUUUGAGAGAGGUAGUAACAAGAAAUAACAAUACAAGGCAGUUAAAAUGCUUUGUAAUUGGAAUGAUAGAAAUUUAAACCCUUUUUAAAGUAUCAAUUGGAGGGCAAGUCUGGUGCCAGCAGCCGCGGUAAUUCCAGCUCCAAUAGCGUAUAUUAAAAUUGUUGCAGUUAAAAAGCUCGUAGUUGAAGUUCUGCUGAAAGUAACCGGUCUGCUUUUAAUAAAAGUGGUAUCUUGGUAUGUAUUUAGCAAUGAUGUCCUUUGAAGUGUUUUUUACUUUAUUGUAAUAAAGCAUAUUCAGGACUUUUACUUUGAGAAAAUUAGAGUGUUUCUAGCAGGCUAACGCUUUGAAUACUGCAGCAUG